AACGAACGCUGGCGGCAGGGCUAACACAUGCAAGUCGAGCGAGGACUUCGGUUCUAGCGGCGGACGGGUGAGUAACGCGUGGGAAUGUGCCCUUCUCUACGGAAUAGCCCUGGGAAACUGGGAGUAAUACCGUAUACGCCCUAUUGGGGAAAGAUUUAUCGGAGAAGGAUCAGCCCGCGUUGGAUUAGGUAGUUGGUGGGGUAAUGGCCUACCAAGCCGACGAUCCAUAGCUGGUUUGAGAGGAUGAUCAGCCACACUGGGACUGAGACACGGCCCAGACUCCUACGGGAGGCAGCAGUGGGGAAUCUUAGACAAUGGGGGCAACCCUGAUCUAGCCAUGCCGCGUGAGUGAUGAAGGCCUUAGGGUUGUAAAGCUCUUUCAGCUGGGAAGAUAAUGACGGUACCAGCAGAAGAAGCCCCGGCUAACUCCGUG
This 433-nucleotide ribosomal RNA is filed under the name uncultured bacterium. RNAcentral describes it as "partial 16S ribosomal RNA". It matches the Rfam family "Bacterial small subunit ribosomal RNA", at positions 29 to 507 of the family's 1533-position model. The record is from RNAcentral.